This 415-nucleotide ribosomal RNA is filed under the name Munidopsis bairdii. RNAcentral describes it as "partial 16S ribosomal RNA". It matches the Rfam family "Archaeal large subunit ribosomal RNA", at positions 2002 to 2677 of the family's 2987-position model. Lineage: Eukaryota; Metazoa; Arthropoda; Malacostraca; Decapoda; Munidopsidae. The record is from RNAcentral.
UAAAGGCCGCGGUAUUUUGACUGUGCAAAGGUAGCAUAAUAAUUAGUUUUUUAAUUGAAGGCUUGUAUGAAUGGUUGGACAAAGAAAAGUCUGUCUUUAGCUUUUUUUUUGAAUUUUACAUUUAAAUGAAAAGGUUUAAAUAGGUUUAAGGGACGAUAAGACCCUAUAAAGCUUUACUGUUUUGUUGGGGUGACAAGGAUGUAAAUAAAAAACUGUCCAGUAAAAAAACAAGUAGUGUUUUAAAAGAUCCUUUGUAAAGAUAAAAGUUUAAGUUACUUUAGGGAUAACAGCGCUAUUUUUUUUGAGAGUUCUUAUUGAAAAGAAAGUUUGCGACCUCGAUGUUGAAUUAAGGUUUCCUUAUGGUGCAAAGCUAUAAAGGUGAGUCUGUUCGACUUUUAAAACUUUACGUGACUGA